GUGGGGAAUUUUGGACAAUGGGCGAAAGCCUGACCCAGCAACGCCGCGUGAAGGAAGAAGGUUUUCGGAUCGUAAACUUCUAUCCUUGGUGAAGAUAAUGACGGUAGCCAAGAAGGAAGCCCCGGCUAACUACGUGCCAGCAGCCGCGGUAAUACGUAGGGGGCAAGCGUUGUCCGGAAUGAUUGGGCGUAAAGGGCGCGUAGGCGGCCCGGUAAGUCUGAAGUGAAAGUCCUGCUUUUAAGGUGGGAAUUGCUUUGGAUACUGUCGGGCUUGAGUGCAGGAGAGGUAAGCGGAAUUCCCGGUGUAGCGGUGAAAUGCGUAGAGAUCGGGAGGAACACCAGUGGCGAAGGCGGCUUACUGGACUGUAACUGACGCUGAGGCGCGAAAGUGUGGGGAGCAAACAGGAUUAGAAACCCUAGUAGUCC
RNAcentral lists this ribosomal RNA (425 nucleotides) under uncultured bacterium. RNAcentral's name for it is "bacterial SSU rRNA". It matches the Rfam family "Bacterial small subunit ribosomal RNA", at positions 354 to 796 of the family's 1533-position model. The record is from RNAcentral.